Molecule: ribosomal RNA, 300 nt
Filed under: uncultured Methanosarcina sp.
Lineage: Archaea; Methanobacteriati; Methanobacteriota; Methanomicrobia; Methanosarcinales; Methanosarcinaceae
Description: bacterial SSU rRNA
Rfam family: Bacterial small subunit ribosomal RNA (bases 53-300)
Source: RNAcentral
GGUAAAGUGAGGGCAAGAGGCUGAUGGAAUAUGAAGUGGGCAUGCUGUAAUCGGGAUUACCGGGCGGAAAGCGUGCGCAGGCGGUUUUGUAAGUCUGUCGUGAAAUCCCGGGCUUAACCUGGGAAUGGCGAUGGAGACUGCAAGGCUAGAAUCUGGCAGAGGGGGGUAGAAUUCCACGUGUAGCAGUGAAAUGCGUAGAGAUGUGGAGGAACACCGAUGGCGAAGGCAGCCCCCUGGGUCAAGAUUGACGCUCAUGCACGAAAGCGUGGGGAGCAAACAGGAUUAGAUACCCCUGUAGUC